AUCUUUUCAUGACCUGGUCUACAGUUUCACGCGUAUUAAAGAUCCGGCGGUGUCUGACAAAGCGUCGGGUGAUUGUUCAUAUCUGUCAUUUAAAAUAAAGUUAAUAAAUGUAAUUCUGUCCACUAUGGCAAAAUAGGAAUUUAUUUUAGAUUUAGGGGAAUCUUUAACCAUGUCUCUGAUUAAAACUUUUGAUUGUAACAUCACAAGUUAUUUAAUUAAAUAUUCUGUAUACGGGUAUAGUUUAAGCAAUGACCUGAGCCAUUACCUUCGGAGCCGUCAAUACUACAUUCUUUAGACGAUAGUCUAAACUAAAUAAAUUUUUAAACGGUUCAGGAAUUCCGUGAAUCUUUUCAUAACCUGCACUAUAGUUUCACGCGUAUUAAAGAUCCGGCGGUGCCUGACAAAGCGCCGGGUGAGUGUUCAUAUCUGCCGUUUUAAAAUAAUGUUAAUAAAUGUAAUUCUGUCCACUAUGGCAAAAUAGGAUUUUAUUUUAGAUUUAGGGGAAUCUUUAACCAAGUCUCUGACUAAGACAUGUGUAUACGUGCACAGAUGGUGACAGAGAAACUUACAUAUGACGUUAAUAAACUUUUAAAUGUUUUUAAGACGUAUUCACCCCAUUUUGGGGUUUUAUUUUUAAUUAAAGGCUUCUUAAAACAUGUGUGAAUAUGUGUAUAUUAUACAAAGAGUCUUAUAUUGUCUGCUCUGACAAAAAUAAAGUAUUUUUUAGGUUUAGGGGAAUUGACUGCGUGUGUCUUAUAAAUACAACUUGAUAAUACGUUUGUUUUGUAAAGAGACUUCUUUAAAGUCACGCAAGAAUAAAAUAUUUUAGUUGUAACUGGUUAAACUUAAAGCCGAUAUUUUCUAUCGAACUAGUCUAUUUUCUGUUCAGACACAAAGUUUUCUGAUGCUGAUAUUAUGUCAGUGUGUGUUUGUGUGGGGGUCGUGUGAUGUAAUCUUUGAAAGUUUAUGACCGAACCUUUAUUGGGGGGCGACAAGAGAUCUCCCGGAAUCAGUUUGGAUGGAGCAGAGCUGUUAUACUCAAGUCUAUUGGUAUGUAUGUGUUUCGCUGUGUUCGUGCCAGUAUUUUGUAUGAUUUAUUUAAAAACUAAAAAUUCGAUCUCUGGUAUUGCAGCGAAAUUGUCUAAACUGGUAUUAACUAUUCCUGGUAAAUCGCGGAGAAGAGUGGCCUGAACAAAAAAGUCAGACCGAGACUAGAACCUCCCGCAGCGUAACACGGAAAUCUUGGAACAAAAGAGACGCCGACUGGCUCGUGUUGUCCGGUUUGGAUAUCAGAGGCAAAGCGAACGUUGUGUGUACUAUUGCAAAAUAUAUAGCGGAUCUCCACGGUUAGGAUACAGACCACAACGCUUUGGACGUAUCUUUAAAAAAGAUUAAAAUCAGAGACUUUUUGGAUUUGUCUGGGGACAUUUUAAACAUUUUGUGGCAAAUUGGAUUUAAAACAUUUCGGAUACUGGAUACCUAGUUUGAUUUGUCCACAGAGCUUGUUUAAGACGUUUUCACCGCAUUUUAGGGUUUAUUUUUAAUCAAAGGCUUCUUAAAACAUGUGUGAAAAUGUGUAUAUUAUACAAUGAGUCUUAUAUUGUCUGCUCUGACAUAAAUAAAUUUUUAUAUUAGAUUUUAGAUCAAUUGACUGUGUGUGUUUUAUGUCAAGCGUAUGCUGUUAUGUUUAAUGACGGCUCGUGUGACAGCUUGUGUUUAGGCAUUUGAUGUCAGAUAUCACCCUUCCUCCCUCCUUUCGCACAAGACCUGCAUUCUUUCACAGGGGUGCGUGUUGUAAAGCGAUUAAAGAUUUCUAAAACUCAAUGUUGGUAAAACAAUCCCCCAUUACGGUGUCAAAAAAGUAAAAUGUUUAUUUUAGAUUUAGACAAAUCAUGAACAAUGCUACGAUUAAAACAUUUGUUUGUAACAUCACAAGUUAUUUAAUGAAAUAUUCCGUAUACGUGUAUAGUUUAAGCAAUGAUCUGAGCCAUAACC
Long non-coding RNA from Paramisgurnus dabryanus, 1995 nucleotides. RefSeq lists it as uncharacterized. The record is from RefSeq and is a predicted model, not a curated record. NCBI's taxonomy places the organism in Eukaryota, Metazoa, Chordata, Actinopteri, Cypriniformes, Cobitidae.